This 54-nucleotide transfer RNA is filed under the name Allodiplogaster sp. MY-2022. RNAcentral describes it as "tRNA-Glu". The record is from RNAcentral. Lineage: Eukaryota; Metazoa; Nematoda; Chromadorea; Rhabditida; Diplogasteridae.
GAGAUAAUAGUAUAUUUAGUAUUUUUCUUUUUCGAGGAAGGGGUUUGUAUCUUA